Cyprinus carpio (common carp) is the source of this 827-nucleotide long non-coding RNA. NCBI's taxonomy places the organism in Eukaryota, Metazoa, Chordata, Actinopteri, Cypriniformes, Cyprinidae. The record is from Ensembl.
GAGAAGAUUCUGUCAGAAACCCUCGCCGCUUGUUGUUGUGAUGCGCUAAUGCGAAGAGAGAGUUUGAAUUUGUGUUUAUUUUGUUGGGCUUUGAAGCUGCCGGAAUCAGAGACUGCAAAAUAGUAGAAGGGAGAAGAAACGUACCCGAGAGAAGUAAACAUAUGGAGCAAACUACCGCGGUGUGCUCCACGGAAGCCGCUUCCGCGAAGGGACAGUAUCUCUAGUUCUUCAUGGUUGAGACACCCGCCUGGUGGUCUGCUGUUUGCCAGGGCCUGCCCGCAGAGAGGGGCUUGACAAGCAGAGCGCAGUGUUAUCCAACGCGAGCUCUGCUUUGCUGCAGGCGGCUCCAUCCCAAACCUCAGCCCUAUCUUGAACAAACAUCACACAGCCGAGAUGAAAAAGAGGGAAAUCGAUGCAGGGGAGAGCGCGCCGUGUAGAGAGCCUGGCUUUGCUUUGAUCGAAGGUUGACUGACAAGACCUUCAGCCCUGUGAUCUCCGGCAUGAUGAAGGACCGGAGCCAUGGUGGUGCAACAACGUGUGUUUGUUGUAUUUUGUGUGGUGUAGGUUUUGUGUAUUUGUGUAUAUGUUUUUUUAAAAAAAAAUUACUUGAAAACCUAGCAAGCCGCCUACGGAGGCGGUAUUUUAAAACUUCAUAGGCACUCUCCUGACACAAAAUCUUUUUCAAAAGGUCAUCGUAAUUAUGCUGCUGCCUAAGUUACCAUCUUUAGGUCAAAUUUUCAAGUGGAAUCACUAUGCUAAGACAGAAAAUUAUAUUUAUAACAAAUAAUAUAAAUAAAUAAAAACAGCAUUGUUAUUGUUAAAGGAGU